GUGGACUUACUGUGCGCUCGUCCAGGGGCGUCUUUCCACUCCACCAAGGAAAGAAUACCUUGGCCACCAGGGCUGAGCAGGGGAGAAACAGGGAGGAACCCAGAAACAAAGCUUUGGCAGCUGCUAGGAACGGCCCUGAAGUCCACCCCUGCGGCCAGGAAGCCAGGAGCAAUAGGCUUCUCGCAGGCUUCCCAGGUGUCAUCAUGGCGGGGGCUCCACUUGGGAAAGCCUCCGGAACGAGAUACCGCGAGAAACGCAGCUUCAUGUUGACGCCAAAAUCUGUUGUUGAAAGUGGGUCCAGGUGACCACAGCUCAAAAGCCAACAAAGAGGCAAGACUGGUGGAAAGGAAAGUUUGCUUGUUUUCAAAGAUUUUCUACGUAUGAAAGACUGGCGAAGGACGUGGCGGGGAAGGACCAUAGAGUCCUGCUCUGUAUCAGUUUCUCUUCUGGACCUGACUGGUGUGUCUCUUCUAUCUGUCUGUUCCUGAGCUCUGCUCCUGCUGCUGCUGCUAAGUUGCUUCAGUUGUGUCCGACUCUGUGCGACCCCAUAGACAGCAGCCCACCAGGCUCCUCCGUCCCUGGGA
Bubalus bubalis (water buffalo) is the source of this 584-nucleotide long non-coding RNA. RefSeq lists it as uncharacterized. Lineage: Eukaryota; Metazoa; Chordata; Mammalia; Artiodactyla; Bovidae. The record is from RefSeq and is a predicted model, not a curated record. The transcript has 3 exons.